RNAcentral lists this ribosomal RNA (264 nucleotides) under Staphylococcus aureus. RNAcentral describes it as "partial 23S ribosomal RNA". It matches the Rfam family "Bacterial large subunit ribosomal RNA", at positions 696 to 958 of the family's 2925-position model. The record is from RNAcentral. Lineage: Bacteria; Bacillati; Bacillota; Bacilli; Caryophanales; Staphylococcaceae.
UUAGUAUUUGGUCGUAGACCCGAAACCAGGUGAUCUACCCUUGGUCAGGUUGAAGUUCAGGUAACACUGAAUGGAGGACCGAACCGACUUACGUUGAAAAGUGAGCGGAUGAACUGAGGGUAGCGGAGAAAUUCCAAUCGAACCUGGAGAUAGCUGGUUCUCUCCGAAAUAGCUUUAGGGCUAGCCUCAAGUGAUGAUUAUUGGAGGUAGAGCACUGUUUGGACGAGGGGCCCCUCUCGGGUUACCGAAUUCAGACAAACUCCG